This 63-nucleotide transfer RNA is filed under the name Shigella flexneri. RNAcentral's name for it is "tRNA-Met". It matches the Rfam family "tRNA", at positions 6 to 65 of the family's 71-position model. From Rfam's summary of the family: Transfer RNA (tRNA) molecules are approximately 80 nucleotides in length. Their secondary structure includes four short double-helical elements and three loops (D, anti-codon, and T loops). Further hydrogen bonds mediate the characteristic L-shaped molecular structure. tRNAs have two regions of fundamental functional importance: the anti-codon, which is responsible for specific mRNA codon recognition, and the 3' end, to which the tRNAs corresponding amino acid is attached (by aminoacyl-tRNA synthetases). tRNAs cope with the degeneracy of the genetic code in two manners: having more than one tRNA (with a specific anti-codon) for a particular amino acid; and 'wobble' base-pairing, i.e. permitting non-standard base-pairing at the 3rd anti-codon position. The record is from RNAcentral. Lineage: Bacteria; Pseudomonadati; Pseudomonadota; Gammaproteobacteria; Enterobacterales; Enterobacteriaceae.
UUUAGCUCAGUUGGUCAGAGCGAGCGACUCAUAAUCGCCAGGUCGCUGGUUCAAGUCCAGCAA